GAUGGACCAGAGAGCAUUGAUCUGCUGAGUGGACUAAAGAUGGGGGAGCAAGGUAAUUGACUCCGACUCCAUUGGGCCCAUGGUGACGACAUCACUGAGCAAGCCAGGACCAGAGACGACAUAGUGGAGACCAUACAAACGCUUCACACCGCGUGGCCGCUGCCACCCUAACCUUGUG
Molecule: long non-coding RNA, 178 nt
Organism: Salvelinus namaycush (lake trout)
Lineage: Eukaryota; Metazoa; Chordata; Actinopteri; Salmoniformes; Salmonidae
Exons: 3
Source: RefSeq, a predicted model, not a curated record